RNAcentral lists this ribosomal RNA (1475 nucleotides) under Candidatus Pelagibacter sp. Its description in RNAcentral is "16S ribosomal RNA". It matches the Rfam family "Bacterial small subunit ribosomal RNA". The record is from RNAcentral. Lineage: Bacteria; Pseudomonadati; Pseudomonadota; Alphaproteobacteria; Candidatus Pelagibacterales; Candidatus Pelagibacteraceae.
AAACUUGAGAGUUUGAUCAUGGCUCAGAACGUACGCUGGCGGCACGCCUAACACAUGCAAGUCGAACGAAGUAGCAAUACUUAGUGGCAGACGGGUGAGUAACAUGUAGGUAUCUGCCCUUUGGCCUGGAAUAACACGAGGAAACUUGUGCUAAUACCGGAUAAGUCUUUACGGAGAAAGCUUUAUGCACCAUUGGAUGAGCCUGCACUUGAUUAGUUUGUUGGUAGGGUAAUGGCCUACCAAGACUAUGAUCAAUAGCUGAUUUGAGAGGAUGAUCAGCCACAUUGGGACUGAGACACGGCCCAAACUCCUACGGGAGGCAGCAGUGGGGAAUCUUGCACAAUGGAGGAAACUCUGAUGCAGCGAUGCCGCGUGAGUGAAGAAGGCCCUUGGGUUGUAAAGCUCUUUCGUCGGGGAAGAAAAUGACUGUACCCGAAUAAGAAGGUCCGGCUAACUUCGUGCCAGCAGCCGCGGUAAUACGAAGGGACCUAGCGUAGUUCGGAAUUACUGGGCUUAAAGAGUUCGUAGGUGGUUGAAAAAGUUGGUGGUGAAAUCCCAGAGCUUAACUCUGGAACUGCCAUCAAAACUUUUCAGCUAGAGUAUGAUAGAGGAAAGCAGAAUUUCUAGUGUAGAGGUGAAAUUCGUAGAUAUUAGAAAGAAUACCAAUUGCGAAGGCAGCUUUCUGGAUCAUUACUGACACUGAGGAACGAAAGCAUGGGUAGCGAAGAGGAUUAGAUACCCUCGUAGUCCAUGCCGUAAACGAUGUGUGUUAGACGUUGGAAAUUUAUUUUCAGUGUCGCAGCGAAAGCGAUAAACACACCGCCUGGGGAGUACGACCGCAAGGUUAAAACUCAAAUGAAUUGACGGGGACCCGCACAAGUAGUGGAGCAUGUGGUUUAAUUCGAAGAUACGCGCAGAACCUUACCAACACUUGACAUGUUCGUCGCGACUCUAAGAGAUUAGAGUUUUCGGUUCGGCCGGACGAAACACAGGUGCUGCAUGGCUGUCGUCAGCUCGUGUCGUGAGAUGUUGGGUUAAGUCCCGCAACGAGCGCAACCCUCACUUUUAGUUGCCAUCAUUAAGUUGGGCACUCUGAAAGAACUGCCAGUGAUAAGCUGGAGGAAGGUGGGGAUGACGUCAAGUCCUCAUGGCCCUUACGUGUUGGGCUACACACGUGCUACAAUGGUAUCUACAACAGGAAGCAAAACGGCAACGUUAAGCAAAUCCCGAAAAGAUACCUCAGUUCGGAUUGCACUCUGCAACUCGAGUGCAUGAAGCUGGAAUUACUAGUAAUCGUGGAUCAGCGUGCCACGGUGAAUGCGUUCCCGGGUCUUGUACACACCGCCCGUCACACCAUGGGAGUUGGUUCUACCUUAAGGCAAGGUUUUAAACCCUUGACCACGGUAUAGUCAGCGACUGGGGUGAAGUCGUAACAAGGUAGCCGUAGGGGAACCUGCGGCUGGAUUACCUCCUUU